Molecule: ribosomal RNA, 301 nt
Filed under: uncultured bacterium
Lineage: Bacteria
Description: partial 16S ribosomal RNA
Rfam family: Bacterial small subunit ribosomal RNA
Source: RNAcentral
CAGCCGCCGCGGUAAAACGAAGGGGGCUAGCGUUGUUCGGAAUUACUGGGCGUAAAGGGCGCGUAGGCGGCCAUUCAAGUUAGAUGUGAAAGCCCUGGGCUCAACCUAGGAAUUGCAUUUGAUACUGUUUGGCUUGAGUUCGGGAGAGGUGAGUGGAAUUCCCAGUGUAGAGGUGAAAUUCGUAGAUAUUGGGAAGAACACCGGUGGCGAAGGCGGCAACCUGGUCCUUGACUGACGCUGAGGCGCGAAAGCGUGGGGAGCAAACAGGAUUAGAUACCCCAGUAGUCCCUGUCUCUUAUAC